ACGAUUGCGGCUGCUGGCACGGAGUUAGCCGGAGCUUAUUCUCCCGGUACUGUCAUUAUCAUCCCGGGUAAAAGAGCUUUACAACCCUAAGGCCUUCAUCACUCACGCGGCAUUGCUGGAUCAGGCUUUCGCCCAUUGUCCAAUAUUCCCUACUGCUGCCUCCCGUAGG
RNAcentral lists this ribosomal RNA (169 nucleotides) under uncultured bacterium. Its description in RNAcentral is "partial 16S ribosomal RNA". The record is from RNAcentral.